Molecule: ribosomal RNA, 490 nt
Filed under: uncultured bacterium
Lineage: Bacteria
Description: partial 16S ribosomal RNA
Rfam family: Bacterial small subunit ribosomal RNA
Source: RNAcentral
GUGCACGCUGGCGGUAGGCUAACACAUGCAAGUCGCACGGCAGCACAGUAAGAGCUUGCUCUUACGGGUGGCGAGUGGCGGACGGGUGAGGAAUACAUCGGAAUCUACUUUUUCGUGGGGGAUAACGUAGGGAAACUUACGCUAAUACCGCAUACGACCUACGGGUGAAAGCAGGGGAUCUUCGGACCUUGCGCGAUUGAAUGAGCCGAUGUCGGAUUAGCUAGUUGGCGGGGUAAAGGCCCACCAAGGCGACGAUCCGUAGCUGGUCUGAGAGGAUGAUCAGCCACACUGGAACUGAGGCACGGUCCAGACUCCUACGGGAGGCAGCAGUGGGGAAUAUUGGACAAUGGGCGCAAGCCUGAUCCAGCCAUACCGCGUGGGUGAAGAAGGCCUUCGGGUUGUAAAGCCCUUUUGUUGGGAAAGAAAAGCAGCAGGUUAAUACCCCGCUGUUCUGACGGUACCCAAAGAAUAAGCACCGGCUAACUUCGUG